Molecule: ribosomal RNA, 506 nt
Filed under: uncultured bacterium
Lineage: Bacteria
Description: partial 16S ribosomal RNA
Rfam family: Bacterial small subunit ribosomal RNA
Source: RNAcentral
AGUGAACGCUGGCGGUAGGCCCAACACAUGCAAGUCGAACGGCAGCACAGAGGAGCUUGCUCCUUGGGUGGCGAGUGGCGGACGGGUGAGGAAUACAUCGGAAUCUACUCUGUCGUGGGGGAUAACGUAGGGAAACUUACGCUAAUACCGCAUACGACCUACGGGUGAAGGCAGGGGAUCUUCGGACCUUGCGCGAUUGAAUGAGCCGAUGUCGGAUUAGCUAGUUGGCGGGGUAAAGGCCCACCAAGGCGACGAUCCGUAGCUGGUCUGAGAGGAUGAUCAGCCACACUGGAACUGAGAUACGGUCCAGACUCCUACGGGAGGCAGCAGUGGGGAAUAUUGGACAAUGGGCGCAAGCCUGAUCCAGCCAUACCGCGUGGGUGAAGAAGGCCUUCGGGUUGUAAAGCCCUUUUGUUGGGAAAGAAAUCCAUCUGGUUAAUACCCGGGUGGGAUGACGGUACCCAAAGAAUAAGCACCGGCUAACUUCGUGCCAGCCGCCGCUGUAA